AGAACGAACGCUGGCGGCAGGCUUAACACAUGCAAGUCGAGCGCCCAGCAAUGGGAGCGGCGGACGGGUGAGUAACACGUGGGAACAUGCCUUUCGGUACGGAACAACUUCGGGAAACUGAAGCUAAUGCCGUAUACGCCCUUACGGGGAAAGAUUUAUCGCCGAAAGAUUGGCCCGCGUCUGAUUAGCUAGUUGGUGAGGUAACGGCUCACCAAGGCUUCGAUCAGUAGCCGGUUUGAGAGAACGACCAGCCACACUGGGACUGAGACACGGCCCCAGACUCCUACGGGAGGCAGCAGUGGGGAAUCUUGGACAAUGGAGGAAACUCUGAUCCAGCCAUGCCGCGUGAGUGAUGAAGGCCUUCGGGUUGUAAAACUCUUUUACCCGGGAAGAUAAUGACUGUACCGGAGAAUAGCUCGGCUAACUUCGCGCCAGCAGCCGC
Molecule: ribosomal RNA, 442 nt
Filed under: uncultured bacterium
Lineage: Bacteria
Description: SSU rRNA
Rfam family: Bacterial small subunit ribosomal RNA
Source: RNAcentral